Hyla sarda is the source of this 736-nucleotide long non-coding RNA. RefSeq lists it as uncharacterized. The record is from RefSeq and is a predicted model, not a curated record. The transcript is spliced from 3 exons. Lineage: Eukaryota; Metazoa; Chordata; Amphibia; Anura; Hylidae.
UACGGUAUUACAGAAAACUUAGCACCUGGAAUGCAGAAACCUCCGCGCAUCUAGGACGGGAUAUGCUGACAUUCAGGAACCCCCAGGAAUGGACUGUAGAGACCCCCCUAACAUAGCCCGAUCCUCAGAUAGUGUAGAGUUAUGUCAAUGGGAUCCGAAGUGACUGAGCUCUUGUAUACUCCGUAUCCUGCCCCGGGAGCCUCAGUGAUCAGACCGGGCGUGAACGGAUCUCCUCCAUUAUUAGAGGAUCAGAAUCCGGUGACAUAGUGAGGAGUCGUCUGGGCGUCAAGUUAUGCAGAGAGAACAUUUAGCUAGACCCGGUGAGUCCCUCGGAGGGCGCGGCGCCUUUGUCAGCUCGGUUUUGUGCCGUGACAGGAAUGAUAAGGAUCAGAUGUCGUACAGUUUGGAUGGAUUCCCCUAAAACUUAUAAGACAAGAUGCCAGGAAUGUGAGAUUGUUACAGACAUCUUCCUGUUUGUCAAGAAUUAAUAAGCUGAACAAGCAGAUGACACCGCCUCACCAUGCGAGCAGAGUUAUAGCGGAAGAACUCCAGCUGUAACCAAGAGAUUUAUGAGCGGAGACCAAGGCAAUAAAAGAACACCAUGUACCAUGAGCGCAACAUAAGACCUACACAAUGUCUAAUCCCAUCUACAUGUCUUAUCCUCGUGCCAGUCAUACCUCUUCAUAUAUAUAUACAUACUGCUCCAUAAGGGCAGAAUUAUUGUAGUUAUGUUCUU